This 243-nucleotide long non-coding RNA is filed under the name Gossypium barbadense (sea-island cotton). Its description in RNAcentral is "long non-coding RNA (GBAR_LNC015058)". The record is from RNAcentral. Lineage: Eukaryota; Viridiplantae; Streptophyta; Magnoliopsida; Malvales; Malvaceae.
AAUCCCAAGCCUAAGAGAUUUAGCUCAUAGCUCGGUAAAUCGAGUUCAAGUUUAAUGCAAUAAUCAACAUCAACUUUUACAAUUAAGUUCUAAAGGAAAUGCGAUAAUAAUCAAAGGAGAAAUUCUGCGAUGUUGCCUUUCACUUAUUCAGCUUUCAACACCGACAACACAAUGUCGUGCAUCUGCCAAAGAUGAUGCAGUCGUCUUCUCCUUCUUCAGCCGCCUUCCUUAUUGGUCCUUCCC